GGGGUAGUAGCUCAGUGGUAGAGCUCCCGCUUCAUACGAGGGAAGACCUAGCUUCGAUUCCCGGCGGCUUCC
This is a transfer RNA of Toxocara canis (dog roundworm), 72 nucleotides long. It matches the Rfam family "tRNA". From Rfam's summary of the family: Transfer RNA (tRNA) molecules are approximately 80 nucleotides in length. Their secondary structure includes four short double-helical elements and three loops (D, anti-codon, and T loops). The record is from Rfam. NCBI's taxonomy places the organism in Eukaryota, Metazoa, Nematoda, Chromadorea, Rhabditida, Toxocaridae.